Long non-coding RNA from Teleopsis dalmanni, 303 nucleotides. RefSeq lists it as uncharacterized. The record is from RefSeq and is a predicted model, not a curated record. The transcript is spliced from 2 exons. NCBI's taxonomy places the organism in Eukaryota, Metazoa, Arthropoda, Insecta, Diptera, Diopsidae.
CUGCUAUCCUAGCUGGAUUGUAAGAAAUUGGUCCUUAUACAAAAACAGGAAACAUAUGAUCAAUAACCAUAAUUAAAGAAAGGAUAAUAGAAUUUAACAAGUAAAAUCAAAGAAUGUUGAAAAUAAGACGAACGUGCCAUGAUCGUUAAGAAAAGGAAAUAAAGUCUAUGACACCUGGUCGCUUAAGUAAGGUAAAAAUAUAUUGCGUUGUAAAAACAGGAUUACAAGGCAAUAUGUGCCGUCAAUGUGUAAAUCAUUAAUUUUAAAUUUAAAUAAAAAAGUAAUUGGUGAAAGCGGAGAACU